Molecule: ribosomal RNA, 253 nt
Filed under: uncultured bacterium
Lineage: Bacteria
Description: partial 16S ribosomal RNA
Rfam family: Bacterial small subunit ribosomal RNA
Source: RNAcentral
UACGUAGGGUGCGAGCGUUGUCCGGAAUUAUUGGGCGUAAAGGGCUCGUAGGCGGUUUGUCGCGUCGGGAGUGAAAACACCGGGCUUAACUCGGUGCUUGCUUUCGAUACGGGCAGACUAGAGGCAUGCAGGGGAGAACGGAAUUCCUGGUGUAGCGGUGAAAUGCGCAGAUAUCAGGAGGAACACCGGUGGCGAAGGCGGUUCUCUGGGCAUGUCCUGACGCUGAGGAGCGAAAGCAUGGGGAGCGAACAGG